AUCAUUCAAGUUUACUCUUGACUAUAAAGAUAUUUAUUUAUUACAUGAAAUUUCAGAACGGCGCCUAUAUAGAUGAUUCUGACUGCCUAAUCUCGGAAAUUUAGCAAUGGACUUCACAUCGAUGAUGCAGAUUAUGAGCUAUAUUUGUGCAGUAAUUUUCACUUUUGCUGCAACACUUGUAAAAGCUGACUACUGCUACCAUUGUACUCAUUCCAUUACACACGAAGUGAUGACCAGUAUGGAUGAGGUCUGCUCCGAGACAGGGGUACAUGUGCAUUGUGCCUUUGGAUGUCGGGUAACAAGAACAUUUGACGUCCAGAAGGUGGAAUCUACCAUUCACCGGGGGUGUGCAACUACAUCAGAUUGUCAAAAGUAUUUCGCAAUCAAGGGGAAAUCGUUGAAUCUAAGUAUUUGCUGCUCCGGUGAUUUUUGCAACAAGCAGAAGUAUGAAUUGAUGAUAUUAAUAAGCUUAGUGGUAAUAUUUCUUAGCAUCUUUUUACAAUUUGUGUAUAAUGUAUUCAUGAGGCUUUUAUACUUCGCAUUGUUCUUGUUCUUGAGUAUUAUGAUAACAUGUUUUGCCUUGUAUUAUUUUCUAUGAAUGAUUGUGACUGUUAAUUUGAUAGCGCGUGAUAGUAUAGUUUGAUAGUUCGGUAGAGUUUGUGCAAAUUUACGAAAGUUAAAGGUCAAGUCCAUCUCAGAAAAAUGUUGAUUUGAAUCAAUAGAGAAAAAUGAGACAAGCACAAU
This 744-nucleotide long non-coding RNA is filed under the name Lytechinus variegatus (green sea urchin). RNAcentral describes it as "uncharacterized LOC121416490". The record is from RNAcentral. Lineage: Eukaryota; Metazoa; Echinodermata; Echinoidea; Temnopleuroida; Toxopneustidae.